This is a long non-coding RNA of Astatotilapia calliptera (eastern happy), 1345 nucleotides long. Lineage: Eukaryota; Metazoa; Chordata; Actinopteri; Cichliformes; Cichlidae. The record is from Ensembl.
GAUAAUUAGUGACCGAGCAGCCCGGGACGUUUCUCUUGAUUUCUUUAGUCAGGGUAAAUUCAUUCACCUGCACGGGUUAGCUAAACGAACUUUACAAAACAAGUUUCCCCGACAGCCGAGUGCUUAUCUUCAGAGGUGGGUAGUAACGAGUUACAUUUACUCCGUUAUAUCAACACGUUCUCACUCCCAACUCGUCAAACGUGUGACGCAUGGUCAGGCUCCCUCUGCUGCACUUAUGGACGCGCAGGGUACCCCUCUCGCGUCGGGAAUUGACGUGAAGGGUCCUCCGAUUGAAGAGAUUGCCGCGGAUUGUCUGCGGAGAGUUCAGACCCAAUUAAAGCUUUAAUAGAGGGCAGGAUGAAGGAGCGAGGGAAGGAGCAAAGAGGUAUGAAGAGCAGGAUGGAAGGGAGAAGUGUCUUUUGGGGCCCGGUUGUGCAGCGUCUUCAGACUCCUUCACCCACUCUAUUAGUUCCCAGCCAUCUUUCUCCAUUUGGCCAAACAUCAAUUUCACUUUUUUUUUUUUUUUUUAAAUAUUUUUUCUUUUCCUCUUGCCACUUCUUAAGCCUCUUUUCCCCUCUCAGAUGUCUUUUUCUCUUUGUCAUAGUUUUGUAUUCUCUCAGACGCUCCAUUCCACAUACAACUCACAUCCAAUUCGAUCAAUUAAACAAAAAAGAAAAAGAAAACUACAAUUCCCUCACAAGUGGCUGAACAAUCUCAAUCAGUUCUUUGUUGACUGCACAAAAUCCAUUUUGGAACAAAGCUUCUCAAUUUUCAGACUGUAAAGAAAAUCCACUUGAUCAUCUGAAAGAACUGAUUUGUGAAGAAAAGUCUUUCCGCAGCCUUUCAGCAUCUGCAAAUCCUUAAUAUGCAUGUAACUCAUGUAACUGGGUUAGUGAGGCUGGUACUGCACUCUAAGGUAUGCAGCAGGGUUUUAUAACAAAUAGCCACAACAAUAAUGUUAUUGCCAAUACAUAAUCAAAUCACCUAAAUCAAAUAGAAACACUAUAAUUACGUGACAACGUGCUGCGUUGAUUCGGUAAUUAGCAACUGCCUCUUACUCAUCUCGCUAAAAAAAAAUGCAGAAAGGGUGUGCGGCUGUUGUGACAGUGUGAUGUUGGGUUUGUUAACGCAUUGUUAAAUGAGGUCAAGAUAUAUCAUGAUUUACAUUUGUAUGUGUAUGCAUCAGUUUUAAAGCUUUGCAGUACCUUUAAAAAUAUGCCACAAUAUGCAAUAAUACAGUGCAUUACCGAUAUUAAUAAUGGCACUGCUAAGAAAGAUGGUUUACUUUAGGUGCAGGGCUUUUUUUUUUUUUUUUCGAAAGCCCAUUUAUAUUCGUAAUAAAGGC